Molecule: long non-coding RNA, 1818 nt
Organism: Chinchilla lanigera (long-tailed chinchilla)
Lineage: Eukaryota; Metazoa; Chordata; Mammalia; Rodentia; Chinchillidae
Source: Ensembl
CAGGAGCCAGCCUUGUCAGAUCCAACUAUUGUCUCACGCAAUAGCAAGGGCUGCCUGAUCGGCCUCAGGCAACAAUGAAACUGAGAAGAGCUGAUGAUAGGGCUCAGUGUGCAUGAACACUGGGCAUUUAGGGCAUGUUAGGUGCACGGCGGGCAUGUAGGACAGCAGGGCACGGGAGCGGCUCCUGAGGUUGACAACAUGGUGCGGAGGUACCCUGAGAAGGAAACGUACGUGGACUAUGGAGUGUACUAGGAACUAGGUGUGAGCCCUCCGCGCGGGGCCUGCUGGGAGCACAGAGCCUCCGGGAGCGCGGGGCAGCGGGAAGUGGUUGGUCCCUGAGAGCAGCGACUGGAAAGGUCUGAUUGCUGAGACAUACAGUUGACACGAAAUAUGAAUGAUUCUAGGCAGCAGUCAUUGUUCUUCAUCACACUUCCAGAUAUACACAAGCUGUGUGCUGUCCCAAUAAUAUUAAGUAACAGAGUGACGGAUACCGACAUUAGGAGUACACAAAUGAAGAUGUGCAGACAGUUGCUACUUUUACAUGAAGAUAUUCUUGCAGCACCUGUACCUGGAAUCUUCAGCCAAAUCUGGGUGGUGAUGGCGAUACCAUUUUUUAAAGCUGGGAUACUUAAUGCUUAUAUUGAAAAAUAUGAAGCUAAGGUGGAGGCUCCACAAAAAGUAAUUCCUGUAAUUCUUCAGAACUGCAUUUCAUAUUCACUCAUGGCUAGACUUGCUCCAGCCUGGAAUCGAGUUGGCCAUCUCUUAGUACAAGGAAAAGAUUUUCUUUCUCAGAUGGGAAAGCAAAGUGCUGUUGUGUUAGACAUCAAUGUAACAGAAACUCAAGUUUGUCUGAGUAUAGAAGUUUGCACUGUCAGACUGCCACCACCUGAGCUAAAAGAAUUUGAUAUUUCUGAGAGUACUAUAGAGAAUUUUCAUACUAAUAAGACUGCUGUCAUUGAAAGACAUUCUAUUUUGAGCAACUGGUGCUACAUUUUGCCAAGUAUGAAAAUGGGACAAAUAAUAAAUAUUCUUCAUGCCUCACCCGCUGACUGUCCAUUUCACUCAUUCAAAGAUUUCCAGAUGCACUGGGAUGACUUGUAUGGCUAUAAACUUCCAGAAGAUGGUAGAAAUAUUAAAAUAUACUGCAGCGUCUACUUCAAAAUGAUUGGAGAAAGGACUUUCACAUACCCUCUCAGUUGUGUUAGAAGUCAGCCCAUACAGUUCUUCCCCAGGGUAGAUUUGGAAGGUGUGUUGAAAAGUUUUCUUUCAGAUUUAAAAUCUAAAUUGCCUCAUAUAUGUGGAUUUCCCAUAAAGAUGACAAGUAAGGCAUGCUACUCUACACAGGAACUAACCAAACCUCAUGUACAGAUUUAUUCAAAACUGUUAUUAUUUUUUGGAUCUCGCUGAAGACUACAUAAACAGGGGCCUACAAGUACAGAUAAUGUGGUUUAGAGAGAAACAAGCAUAGUGAAGACAUUCUACUUAAAAGACAAGUUAUUUUCCUGCAGAGUAAACAACAGGAAAAAAUAAUGUACAUUCCAUCACCACUUAAUAAAUGGAAGCAUGUGCUUACAUGUUUGGUUAACAAGCAAGUGCCUUUUAAUUAUUUAUAUCAAAUCACAAAAUGUAACUCUACAAAACAUUUCAAUAUCUUCUAUAAAAGUCAAGUAUUACAUUUAAAUAUAACUUCAGAGAUGAAAUUAAAAUUAGCUUCCAGAGAACUAUGAAAUGGUUAAUUCUACCUAGACUGGUCACAAGUUUUUCCACCUAUUAAAUGGCAAAUAAGCAGAAUGCAUAGUUGAAAAAUAAGGAUCAAAC